GAUGAAGAACGCAGCGAAAUGCGAUAAGUAAUGCGAAUUGCAGAAUCCGUGAGUCAUCGAAUCUUUGAACGCAUAUUGCGCCCUUUGGUAUUCCGAAGGGCAUGCCUGUUCGAGCGUCAUUAUCACCCCUCAAGCUCUGCUUGGUGUUGGGCCCUGCCCGCUGCGGCCGGCCCUAAAGACAGUGGCGGUGCCGCCUGGCCCUGAGCGUAGUACAUCUCUCGCUCCAGUGCCCGGUGGUAGCCUGCCAGAACCCCAACUCUCGUGGUUGACCUCGGAUCAGGUAGGGAUACCCGCUGAACUUAAGCAUAUCAAUAAGCGGAGGA
RNAcentral lists this unclassified non-coding RNA (323 nucleotides) under soil metagenome. RNAcentral's name for it is "partial contains 5.8S ribosomal RNA, internal transcribed spacer 2, and large subunit ribosomal RNA". The stretch from base 1 to 119 matches the Rfam family "5.8S ribosomal RNA", at positions 35 to 154 of the family's 154-position model. The record is from RNAcentral.